AAUCUGGUUGAUCCUGCCAGUAGUCAUAUGCUUGUCUUAAAGAUUAAUCCAUGCAUGUGUAAGUAUAAGUAUUGUACAGCGAAACUGCGAAUGGCUCAUUACAUCAGUUAUAAUUUAUUUGAUAAUCGAAAGUUACAUGGAUAACCGUGACAAAUUACAGCUAAUACAUGCAGUCAGACCUGGUCCAAGGGUCGUAAUUAUUAGUAUUAAACCAUUUCCGCAAGGAGUGUGAUGAAUCAUAAUAAUCGAACGAAUCGCCUGUUGUGCGAUAAAUCAUUCAAGUUUCUGCCCUAUCAGCUUUGGAUGGUAGUGUAUUGGACUACCAUGGCAGUCACGGGUAACGGAGAAUUAGGGUUCGAUUCCGGAGAGGGAGCCUGAGAAACGGCUACCACAUCUACGGAAGGCAGCAGGAGCGAAAAUUGCCCAAUCCCGACACGGGGAGGCAGUGACGAGAAAUAACAACUCUUGGUUAUUCUAAGAAGUGUAAUGAGGAUAAUUUAAAACCCUUACCGAAAGCAAUUGGAGGGCAAGUCUGGUGCCAGCAGCCGCGGUAAUUCCAGCUCCAAUAGCGUAUAUUAAAGUUGUUGCAGUUAAAAAGCUCGUAGUUGAAGUUCUGGCUGUUUGACCCUCGAGCUCUGUAGCCGAGGGCUCAACAGUCAUCCGCUUGCAAACAUAUGUUCGCCUUUAACCGGGCGGCUAUGUGAGUAAGCAUUUUACCUUGAGAAAAACAGAGUGUUCCAGGCAGGUUUGUCCGGAAUGCAUUAGCAUGGAAUAAUAGAAUAUGACUGAAGUCGAUUUAUUGGUUUGAGGCUUUAGUAAUGAUUAAUAGGAACAGUCGGGGGCAUUGGUACUUGACAGUCAGAGGUGAAAUUCUAGGAUUUGUCAAAGACUAACAAAUGCGAAAGCAUUUGCCAAGGAUGUUUUCAUUAAUCAAGAACGAAAGUUAGGGGAUCAAAGACGAUCAGAUACCGUCCUAGUCUUAACUAUAAACUAUACCGACUCGGAUUCAGAUGAAUCAUAAAGUUCAUUUGGGACCGUAGGAGAAAUCAAAGUUUUUGGGUUCUGGGGGAAGUAUGGUCGCAAGGCUGAAACUUAAAGGAAUUGACGGUUUUGCACCACCAUGGAGUGGAGUCUGCGGCUUAAUUUGACAACACUGGGAAACUCAUCAGGGCAAGAAGAUUGUAGGAUUGACAGAUUGAGAGUUCUUUCUUGAUUGGUCUAGUGGUGGUGCAUGGCCGUUCUUAGUUGGUGGAGUGAUUUGUCUGGUUAAUUCCGUUAACGAACGAGACCUUAACCUGCUAACUAGUACACCGAUGACAAAUCGGUGAUACUUCUUAGAGGGACUAUGUGAUGUAAUCACAUGGAAGUUUGAGGCAAUAACAGGUCUGUGAUGCCCUUAGAUGUCCUGAGCUGCACGCGUACUACAAUGGUGCUUUCAACGAGCUUUUCCUGAUCCGAAAGGAUUUGGGUAAUCUUUUUAGUGAGCACCGUGCUUGGGAUAGAUCUUUGUAAUUAUGGAUCUUGAACUAGGAAUUCCUAGUAAGCACGUGUCAUCAGCACGUGCUGAUUAC
This 1571-nucleotide ribosomal RNA is filed under the name Vorticella sp. RNAcentral's name for it is "SSU rRNA". It matches the Rfam family "Eukaryotic small subunit ribosomal RNA". The record is from RNAcentral. Lineage: Eukaryota; Ciliophora; Oligohymenophorea; Sessilida; Vorticellidae.